AGUGAACGCUGGCGGUAGGCCUAACACAUGCAAGUCGAACGGCAGCACAGUAAGAGCUUGCUCUUACGGGUGGCGAGUGGCGGACGGGUGAGGAAUACAUCGGAAUCUACUUUUUCGUGGGGGAUAACGUAGGGAAACUUGCGCUAAUACCGCAUACGACCUACGGGUGAAAGCAGGGGAUCUUCGGACCUUGCGCGAUUGAAUGAGCCGAUGUCGGAUUAGCUAGUUGGCGGGGUAAAGGCCCACCAAGGCGACGAUCCGUAGCUGGUCUGAGAGGAUGAUCAGCCACACUGGAACUGAGACACGGUCCAGACUCCUACGGGAGGCAGCAGUGGGGAAUAUUGGACAAUGGGCGCAAGCCUGAUCCAGCCAUACCGCGUGGGUGAAGAAGGCCUUCGGGUUGUAAAGCCCUUUUGUUGGGAAAGAAAGGCAGCAGGUUAAUACCCCGCUGUUCUGACGGUACCCAAAGAAUAAGCACCGGCUAACUUCGUG
RNAcentral lists this ribosomal RNA (492 nucleotides) under uncultured bacterium. RNAcentral describes it as "partial 16S ribosomal RNA". It matches the Rfam family "Bacterial small subunit ribosomal RNA", at positions 29 to 507 of the family's 1533-position model. The record is from RNAcentral.